UCUGUAGCAACAGAUACAUUAUUUGUUGCAAUAUUUGAAUCUAGUAUUCCAUUUCAAUUAAUAAGUUCAAAUCUAAAAAAAAAUAAAAUUUAUAGACAAAAUAAAAUAAAUCAAAGCCUUCAGAAAUUAGCUAAAAUAAAUGAACUAAUAAAUGAAAUGUAAAAAAAUUGUUAUGGGUAUAGAUCUCAACAAAUACAUCAACAAUUUAAGUAUUGAUGCCAAGGAUUCCUAAGGAGGGGCCAGGU
This 245-nucleotide long non-coding RNA is filed under the name Capsicum annuum. RNAcentral's name for it is "long non-coding RNA (CANN_LNC019637)". Lineage: Eukaryota; Viridiplantae; Streptophyta; Magnoliopsida; Solanales; Solanaceae. The record is from RNAcentral.